Molecule: long non-coding RNA, 869 nt
Organism: Cyprinus carpio (common carp)
Lineage: Eukaryota; Metazoa; Chordata; Actinopteri; Cypriniformes; Cyprinidae
Source: Ensembl
AUUAUCUUCUUUUUGAAGUUUGUUGUAUAGACAUGCAUUAUGUCAUGGAAAGCAGGGAUGGCUUUUUUAAACAUUUUAAUAUAUUACGAAUAAAAAAAUUAUGUGUUGAAAAUUUAAAAAUAAAAAAAUAUUGUUUUUAAAAAACGACAUAGUUAAUCAUUUCCAAUGACCCGUAUGUAAAUUCCCUAAUGAGGAAGUAAAUUUUCCUUCCUUCUUAAGUUGGAAGUACAAACUGAUUUUGCUGUUUACACAGUACAGGAUAUUCCAGUAAAAAGCGAAAAUGUUACCGAACGUACUAGUCUGGAGACGUAUUUUAACAAAUUGAGGUGCUUUAAACUUAACAGUUGACACUCAAUUUCAAAACGCGGCUCUUCAUUUCACGAGACGCCGAACUGCAACAGCGACGCCAAACAGUGUCUGAUGCCUGCCUUCAAGAGGAUAGUGCAGAGAGUCCACUGUGACCUGUCAACUGUUUGCAACUGCAGCCAGAACCAAAGUAGACUCAGCCUCAGACGUCACGCCCACGGACCAUUGUCUGAAGGAGCAGAUGAUAACUGGGGGUUGAUUGAUGGAGCUGUCGCGCGCGUAUAGCUCACAACUGCACGUGCACGUUUUGCAGACAGCUACCUGUCACGCGCAACACUGACCUGUUUUCACAAUAUCAACAUUUAACCUGAAGGAUCGUUUAAGUCAGUCCAGUAACGAGACAUGUCUGAUUCAAGGUACAAGAUAUCAUGCAUAAAACAAUCAUAGAUAACUAAAACAUUGCUAGUUAAAUAGCCUAAGUCGAUUUCAAACAAAAAAGACGUAUAAGUCUAUUAAAUAGUUUCACCAAUAAAUAAUAACAGAAUGGCGGCUUUUUAUGUUUU